Odocoileus virginianus texanus is the source of this 728-nucleotide long non-coding RNA. RefSeq lists it as uncharacterized. Lineage: Eukaryota; Metazoa; Chordata; Mammalia; Artiodactyla; Cervidae. The record is from RefSeq and is a predicted model, not a curated record.
AUCAUCAAUGCGGGCUGAGGAUUUCAGGUGGGCUAAUCAGCCAGAGGAAUCGACCCGGACACUUACAGCCUCUGGGUUAUUCCCAUGUAAAUACUCUCAGCGUAGAGAACAGAAGAAAAGACAAUUAGUCCAGGCUGUCAGGAACUCCACGCAAGCUGCUUCGUUCCUGAAAAUGGUCCUCAUUUUUUCCCCAAGAUCUUCCCUGGCUGUGGCACAUCUCACACGCUGCAGGGAGCUGUCAGCUCUGUGGAGCGACUAGAGGAAUUAAAAAUAAAAAUUGACUUUCAGAGAACAAAAUCAGACCUGACAACUCAAGUCACUCAAACCAGCCGUGGUUAGAAGAUUGCAAAUAUGUUUGUAAAAAGGAGGUGGCACAGACUGGUGGGGGAGAGAUUCUCUCAGGAAGGAACUCUGGGAACGUGUUCAUCUCCUGAGAUGAGGUUUCCAGCAACCGCCCUGUCCCACUGUGUUCGUUGCUUCACUUUCCAUCCUCAUCGCGGUCUGGGCUCAUGUCCGGCCCUCAAUGAAUUGGAUGAUGCCCACCCAUGUUGGAAAGGACCAACUGCUUUCCUCAAUCCGCCAGUUCGAAUGCUCGUCUCUUCCAGAAAUGCCAUCACAGACAUGCCCAUAUAUAACGUUUCACCAGCUCUCUGGACGUUCCAUGGCUCAGUCAAGUUGACGUGUAAAAUACACCAUUGCACAAAAUGAAUAAAAUGUAUAGUAUGUUA